Molecule: ribosomal RNA, 247 nt
Filed under: uncultured Pseudomonas sp.
Lineage: Bacteria; Pseudomonadati; Pseudomonadota; Gammaproteobacteria; Pseudomonadales; Pseudomonadaceae
Description: partial 16S ribosomal RNA
Rfam family: Bacterial small subunit ribosomal RNA
Source: RNAcentral
ACUCUAAGGAGACUGCCGGUGACAACCGGAGGAAGGUGGGGAUGACGUCAAGUCAUCAUGGCCCUUACGGCCUGGGCUACACACGUGCUACAAUGGUCGGUACAAAGGGUUGCCAAGCCGCGAGGUGGAGCUAAUCCCAUAAAACCGAUCGUAGUCCGGAUCGCAGUCUGCAACUCGACUGCGUGAAGUCGGAAUCGCUAGUAAUCGUGAAUCAGAAUGUCCACGGUCGAAUACGUUCCCGGGCCUU